RNAcentral lists this ribosomal RNA (499 nucleotides) under uncultured bacterium. RNAcentral's name for it is "bacterial SSU rRNA". It matches the Rfam family "Bacterial small subunit ribosomal RNA", at positions 29 to 518 of the family's 1533-position model. The record is from RNAcentral.
AUGAACGCUGGCGGCGUGCCUAACACAUGCAAGUCGAACGGGACUAUCAAGUGAUGUUUCGGACUGAACUUUUAGUUUAGUGGCGGACGGGUGAGUAACGCGUGGACAACCUGCCUCUCACUGGGGGAUAGCAGCUGGAAACGGCUGGUAAUACCGCAUGCGUUCAAUGUGCCGCAUGACACAUUGAAGAAAGAUUUAUCGGUGAGAGAUGGGUCCGCGUCUGAUUAGCCAGUUGGCGGGGUAACGGCCCACCAAAGCAACGAUCAGUAGCCGGCCUGAGAGGGCGGACGGCCACAUUGGGACUGAGACACGGCCCAGACUCCUACGGGAGGCAGCAGUGGGGGAUAUUGCACAAUGGGCGCAAGCCUGAUGCAGCGACGCCGCCGUGAGUGAAGAAGUAUUUCGGUAUGUAAAGCUCUAUCAGCAGGGAAGAAAGGCCCGCAAGGGAGAUGACGGUACCUGACUAAGAAGCCCCGGCUAACUACGUGCCAGCAGCCGC